UACGAAGGGGGCUAGCGUUGUUCGGAAUCACUGGGCGUAAAGGGCGCGUAGGCGGCUUUAUAAGUCGGGGGUGAAAGCCUGUGGCUCAACCACAGAAUUGCCUUCGAUACUGUAGAGCUUGAGACCGGAAGAGGUAAGUGGAACUGCGAGUGUAGAGGUGAAAUUCGUAGAUAUUCGCAAGAACACCAGUGGCGAAGGCGGCUUACUGGUCCGGUUCUGACGCUGAGGCGCGAAAGCGUGGGGAGCAACAGG
This 252-nucleotide ribosomal RNA is filed under the name uncultured bacterium. RNAcentral's name for it is "partial 16S ribosomal RNA". It matches the Rfam family "Bacterial small subunit ribosomal RNA", at positions 524 to 775 of the family's 1533-position model. The record is from RNAcentral.